RNAcentral lists this ribosomal RNA (253 nucleotides) under uncultured bacterium. RNAcentral describes it as "partial 16S ribosomal RNA". It matches the Rfam family "Bacterial small subunit ribosomal RNA", at positions 524 to 776 of the family's 1533-position model. The record is from RNAcentral.
UACCUAGGUGGCAAGCGUUGUCCGGAAUUAUUGGGCGUAAAGCGCGCGCAGGCGGUCCUUUAAGUCUGAUGUGAAAGCCCACGGCUCAACCGUGGAGGGUCAUUGGAAACUGGGGGACUUGAGUGCAGAAGAGGAAAGCGGAAUUCCACGUGUAGCGGUGAAAUGCGUAGAGAUGUGGAGGAACACCAGUGGCGAAGGCGGCUUUCUGGUCUGUAACUGACGCUGAGGCGCGAAAGCGUGGGGAGCAAACAGG